UGUGUAGGAAUCUACCAUUUGGAGGCGAAUAACUUGGGGAAACUCAAGCUAAUACGCCGUAAUAUCUACGGAUUAAAGCGUGGGACCUUCGGGCCACGUGCCAGAUGUUGAGCCUACAUCGGAUUAGCUUGUUGGUGGGGUAAAGGCCUACCAAGGCGACGAUCCGUAGCUGGUCUGAGAGGAUGAUCAGCCACACUGGGACUGAGACACGGCCCAGACUCCUACGGGAGGCAGCAGUGGGGAAUAUUGGACAAUGGGCGAAAGCCUGAUCCAGCAAUGCCGCGUGUGUGAAGAAGACCU
This 300-nucleotide ribosomal RNA is filed under the name uncultured Legionellales bacterium. RNAcentral describes it as "bacterial SSU rRNA". It matches the Rfam family "Bacterial small subunit ribosomal RNA", at positions 114 to 417 of the family's 1533-position model. The record is from RNAcentral. Lineage: Bacteria; Pseudomonadati; Pseudomonadota; Gammaproteobacteria; Legionellales.